GAAAUAAUAGAUUGCUUCCCCAAUACACCGGAGUUUAAUUUUCCAACAAAUAAAGCAAUGAUGGCAAGAGAGAGGACAACAAUGGCUGUAGAAUUGCUGCAGAGGUCAGUCUUUGAUACAAACACACAUUGUGUGAUGUGUGCACGAAAGAAAGCACCAAAAUGUCCUGGUUGGUGUCCUGCAGGUUGGAUCCAGUGUGAUGAUUGCGAUUGCUGGUUCCACGGAGAGUGUGUGGGGAUGUGUCGGACAGACAUAAUAAGAGCAAAAGACGUCCCAUGGAAAUGUGUUGUCUGUGACUGAGGAGAUGUUGACACAUACUAACGCGC
Long non-coding RNA from Boleophthalmus pectinirostris (great blue-spotted mudskipper), 326 nucleotides. RefSeq lists it as uncharacterized. The transcript is spliced from 3 exons. The record is from RefSeq and is a predicted model, not a curated record. NCBI's taxonomy places the organism in Eukaryota, Metazoa, Chordata, Actinopteri, Gobiiformes, Gobiidae.